RNAcentral lists this ribosomal RNA (253 nucleotides) under uncultured Blautia sp. RNAcentral describes it as "partial 16S ribosomal RNA". It matches the Rfam family "Bacterial small subunit ribosomal RNA", at positions 524 to 776 of the family's 1533-position model. Lineage: Bacteria; Bacillati; Bacillota; Clostridia; Lachnospirales; Lachnospiraceae. The record is from RNAcentral.
UACGUAGGGGGCAAGCGUUAUCCGGAUUUACUGGGUGUAAAGGGAGCGUAGACGGCUGUGCAAGCCAGAUGUGAAAGCCCGGGGCUCAACCCCGGGACUGCAUUUGGAACUGUGUAGCUGGAGUGUCGGAGAGGCAGGCGGAAUUCCUAGUGUAGCGGUGAAAUGCGUAGAUAUUAGGAGGAACACCAGUGGCGAAGGCGGUCAACUGGACAGCAACUGACGCUGAGGCGCGAAAGCGUGGGGAGCAAACAGG